CCUAAAUACUAAUACCAGAUCGAUAGUGCACAAGUACCGUGAGGGAAAGGUGAAAAGAACUGAGGUGAUCAGAGUGAAAUAGAACCUGAAACCAUUUGCUUACAAUCAUUCAGAGCCCUAUGUAGCAAUACAGGGUGAUGGACUGCCUUUUGCAUAAUGAGCCUGCGAGUUGUGGUGUCUGGCAAGGUUAAGCAAACGCGAAGCCGUAGCGAAAGCGAGUCUGAAUAGGGCGCUUAGUCAGAUGCUGCAGACCCGAAACGAAGUGAUCUAUCCAUGAGCAAGUUGAAGCUAGUGUAAGAACUAGUGGAGGACUGAACCCAUAGGCGUUGAAAAGCCCCGGGAUGACUUGUGGAUAGGGGUGAAAGGCCAAUCAAACUUCGUGAUAGCUGGUUCUCUCCGAAAUAUAUUUAGGUAUAGCGUUGUGUCGUAAUAUAAGGGGGUAGAGCACUGAAUGGGCUAGGGCAUACACCAAUGUACCAAACCCUAUCAAACUCCGAAUACCUUAUAUGUAAUCACAGCAGUCAGGCGGCGAGUGAUAAAAUCCGUCGUCAAGAGGGAAACAACCCAGACUACCAGCUAAGGUCCCUAAAUCUUACUUAAGUGGAAAACGAUGUGAAGUUACUUAAACAACCAGGAGGUUGGCUUAGAAGCAGCCAUCCUUUAAAGAAAGCGUAAUAGCUCACUGGUCUAGUGAUUUUGCGCGGAAAAUAUAACGGGGCUAAAGUAAGUACCGAAGCUGUAGACUUAGUUUACUAAGUGGUAGGAGAGCGUUCUAUUUGCGUCGAAGGUAUACCGGUAAGGAGUGCUGGAGCGAAUAGAAGUGAGCAUGCAGGCAUGAGUAGCGAUAAUUAAUGUGAGAAUCAUUAACGCCGUAAACCCAAGGUUUCCUACGCGAUGCUCGUCAUCGUAGGGUUAGUCGGGUCCUAAGUCGAGUCCGAAAGGGGUAGACGAUGGCAAAUUGGUUAAUAUUCCAAUACCAACAUUAGUGUGCGAUGGAAGGACGCUUAGGGCUAAGGGGGCUAGCGGAUGGAAGUGCUAGUCUAAGGUCGUAGGAGGUUAUACAGGCAAAUCCGUAUAACAAUACUCCGAGAACUGAAAGGCUUUUUGAAGUCUUCGGAUGGAUAGAAGAACCCCUGAUGCCGUCGAGCC
Molecule: ribosomal RNA, 1149 nt
Filed under: Campylobacter coli
Lineage: Bacteria; Pseudomonadati; Campylobacterota; Epsilonproteobacteria; Campylobacterales; Campylobacteraceae
Description: partial 23S ribosomal RNA
Rfam family: Bacterial large subunit ribosomal RNA
Source: RNAcentral